CGUAACAAGGUCUCCGUUGGUGAACCAGCGGAGGGAUCAUUACCGAGUUUACAACUCCCAAACCCCUGUGAACAUACCUUAUGUUGCCUCGGCGGAUCAGCCCGCGCCCCGUAAAAAGGGACGGCCCGCCGCAGGAACCUUAAACUCUGUUUUUAGUGGAACUUCUGAGUAUAAAAAACAAAUAAAUCAAAACUUUCAACAACGGAUCUCUUGGUUCUGGCAUCGAUGAAGAACGCAGCAAAAUGCGAUAAGUAAUGUGAAUUGCAGAAUUCAGUGAAUCAUCGAAUCUUUGAACGCACAUUGCGCCCGCCAGUAUUCUGGCGGGCAUGCCUGUUCGAGCGUCAUUUCAACCCUCAAGCCCAGCUUGGUGUUGGGAGCUGCAGUCCUGCUGCACUCCCCAAAUACAUUGGCGGUCACGUCGAGCUUCCAUAGCGUAGUAAUUUACAUAUCGUUACUGGUAAUCGUCGCGGCCACGCCGUUAAACCCCAACUUCUGAAUGUUGACCUCGGAUCAGGUAGGAAUACCCGCUGAACUUAAGCAUAUCAAUAAGC
This 551-nucleotide ribosomal RNA is filed under the name Fusarium culmorum. Its description in RNAcentral is "eukaryotic LSU rRNA". The stretch from base 191 to 344 matches the Rfam family "5.8S ribosomal RNA". The record is from RNAcentral. Lineage: Eukaryota; Fungi; Ascomycota; Sordariomycetes; Hypocreales; Nectriaceae.